CCAAUAGCGUAUAUUAAAGUUGUUGCAGUUAAAAAGCUCGUAGUUGAAUUUCGAGAUCAAAUUGUUGGUCGUGCCUUGGUACGUACUGGCAAUAUUGAUUUCUCCCUUCUGACGAACCAAGAUGUCAUUAAUUUGGUGUCUUGGGGAAUCAGGACUGUUACUUUGAAAAAAUGAGAGUGUUUAAAGCAGGCUCGCGCUUGAAUACAUUAGCAUGGAAUAAUGAAAUAGGAAGUUUGAUUCUAUUUUGUUGGUUUCUAGGAUCGACGUAAUGAUUAAUAGGGAUAGUUGGGGGCAUUAGUAUUCAAUUGUCAGAGGUGAAAUUCUUGGAUUUAUUGAAGACUAACUACUGCGAAAGCAUUUGCCAAGGAUGUUUUCAUUAAUCAAGAACGAAAGUUAGGGGAUCGAAGACGAUCAGAUACCGUCGUAGUCUUAACCAUAAACUAUGCCGACUAGGGAUCGGAUGAUGUUAAUUUUUUAAUGACUCAUUCGGCGCCUUACG
Molecule: ribosomal RNA, 499 nt
Filed under: uncultured Glomeromycotina
Lineage: Eukaryota; Fungi; Glomeromycota
Description: partial small subunit ribosomal RNA
Rfam family: Eukaryotic small subunit ribosomal RNA
Source: RNAcentral